Molecule: ribosomal RNA, 207 nt
Filed under: uncultured bacterium
Lineage: Bacteria
Description: partial 16S ribosomal RNA
Rfam family: Bacterial small subunit ribosomal RNA
Source: RNAcentral
UGCGUAGGCGGGUUAUUAAGUCAGUGGUGAAAGUCUGCGGCUCAACCGUAGGAGUGCCAUUGAUACUGGUAGUCUUGAGUACAGUAGAGGUAGGCGGAAUUUAUGGUGUAGCGGUGAAAUGCAUAGAUACCAUAAAGAACACCGAUAGCGAAGGCAGCUUACUAUACUGUAACUGACGCUGAGGCACGAAAGCGUGGGGAGCGAACA